RNAcentral lists this ribosomal RNA (690 nucleotides) under Rhodotorula babjevae. RNAcentral's name for it is "eukaryotic LSU rRNA". The stretch from base 172 to 325 matches the Rfam family "5.8S ribosomal RNA". Lineage: Eukaryota; Fungi; Basidiomycota; Microbotryomycetes; Sporidiobolales; Sporidiobolaceae. The record is from RNAcentral.
CCUGCGGAAGGAUCAUUAGUGAAUCUAGGACGUCCAACUUAACUUGGAGUCCGAACUCUCACUUUCUAACCCUGUGCAUCUGUUAAUUGGAAUAGUAACUCUUCGGAGUGAACCACCAUUCACUUAUAAAACACAAAGUCUAUGAAUGUAUACAAAUUUAUAACAAAACAAAACUUUCAACAACGGAUCUCUUGGCUCUCGCAUCGAUGAAGAACGCAGCGAAAUGCGAUACGUAAUGUGAAUUGCAGAAUUCAGUGAAUCAUCGAAUCUUUGAACGCACCUUGCGCUCCUUGGUAUUCCGAGGAGCAUGCCUGUUUGAGUGUCAUGAAAUCUUCAACCCACCUCUUUCUUAGUGAAUCUGGUGGUGCUUGGUUUCUGAGCGCUGCUCUGCUUCGGCUUAGCUCGUUCGUAAUGCAUUAGCAUCCGCAACCGAACUUCGGAUUGACUUGGCGUAAUAGACUAUUCGCUGAGGAUUCUAGUUUACUAGAGCCGAGUUGGGUUAAAGGAAGCUCCUAAUCCUAAAGUCUAUUUUUUGAUUAGAUCUCAAAUCAGGUAGGACUACCCGCUGAACUUAAGCAUAUCAAUAACUAGAGCCGAGUUGGGUUAAAGGAAGCUCCUAAUCCUAAAGUCUAUUUUUUGAUUAGAUCUCAAAUCAGGUAGGACUACCCGCUGAACUUAAGCAUAUCAAUA